AGGAUAUUUUCUAUCUCUUGGACUGAAGAAAUACCAUUCUUGUUCUCCAAAUGUCGCCUUAGCAGGUAGUUCCCAAGGAUCAAAUUUGUAAAGAUCAACUUCAGCAAUAAUAGAAACAGGAAGAGGAACAGAGGCAACUCUUUUCUUAAGAUAAUGAACCACAAGCUCUUCAUCAGUUGGAUGAAAUCGAAAUCCAGGUGGCAAUUGUGGUUGAUGAUGAGAGCCGGUUGAUGAAUCGGUACUCUCCAUGACCACAAUAUUAUUUGAUAAAAAUUUUCAAAUAUAUUUAAUCAGAGCGACCUGAUUAUAAAACUAUAUAAUAAAAAUAAUAAUAAAAAAA
This 340-nucleotide unclassified non-coding RNA is filed under the name Hevea brasiliensis (rubber tree). The record is from RNAcentral. Lineage: Eukaryota; Viridiplantae; Streptophyta; Magnoliopsida; Malpighiales; Euphorbiaceae.